AACGAACGCUGGCGGCAUGCCUAACACAUGCAAGUCGAACGAGACCUUCGGGUCUAGGGGCGCACGGGUGCGUAACGCGUGGGAACCUGCCCUUAUGUUCGGAAUAACUCCCCGAAAGGGGUGCUAAUACCGGAUAAUGUCUUCGGACCAAAGAUUUAUCGCCUUUGGAUGGGCCCGCGUUGGAUUAGCUAGUUGGUAGGGUAAAAGCCUACCAAGGCGACGAUCCAUAGCUGGUCUGAGAGGAUGAUCAGCCACACUGGGACUGAGACACGGCCCAGACUCCUACGAGAGGCAGCAGAGGGGGAUAUAGGACAGUGGGCGAAAGGCUGAUCCAGCAAUGCCGCGUGAGUGAUGAAGGCCUUAGGGUUGUAAAGCUCUUUUAACCGGGAUGAUAAUGACAGUACCGGGAGAAUAAGCUCCGGCUAACUACGUG
RNAcentral lists this ribosomal RNA (433 nucleotides) under uncultured bacterium. RNAcentral's name for it is "partial 16S ribosomal RNA". It matches the Rfam family "Bacterial small subunit ribosomal RNA", at positions 29 to 507 of the family's 1533-position model. The record is from RNAcentral.